AGUGAACGCUGGCGGUAGGCCUAACACAUGCAAGUCGAACGGCAGCACAGUAAGAGCUUGCUCUUACGGGUGGCGAGUGGCGGACGGGUGAGGAAUACAUCGGAAUCUACUUUUUCGUGGGGGAUAACGUAGGGAAACUUACGCUAAUACCGCAUACGACCUACGGGUGAAAGCAGUGGAUCUUCGGACCUUGCGCGAUUGAAUGAGCCGAUGUCGGAUUAGCUAGUUGGCGGGGUAAAGGCCCACCAAGUCGACGAUCCGUAGCUGGUCUGAGAGGAUGAUCAGCCACACUGGAACUGAGACACGGUCCAGACUCCUACGGGAGGCAGCAGUGGGGAAUAUUGGACAAUGGGCGCAAGCCUGAUCCAGCCAUACCGCGUGGGUGAAGAAGGCCUUCGGGUUGUAAAGCCCUUUUGUUGGGAAAGAAAAGCAGCAGGUUAAUACCCCGCUGUUCUGACGGUACCCAAAGAAUAAGCACCGGCUAACUUCGUG
Molecule: ribosomal RNA, 492 nt
Filed under: uncultured bacterium
Lineage: Bacteria
Description: partial 16S ribosomal RNA
Rfam family: Bacterial small subunit ribosomal RNA
Source: RNAcentral